RNAcentral lists this ribosomal RNA (253 nucleotides) under uncultured bacterium. Its description in RNAcentral is "partial 16S ribosomal RNA". It matches the Rfam family "Bacterial small subunit ribosomal RNA", at positions 524 to 776 of the family's 1533-position model. The record is from RNAcentral.
UACGGAGGGGGCUAGCGUUGUUCGGAAUUACUGGGCGUAAAGCGCACGUAGGCGGCUUUGUAAGUUAGAGGUGAAAGCCCGGGGCUCAACCCCGGAAUUGCCUUUAAGACUGCAUCGCUAGAAUUGUGGAGAGGUAAGUGGAAUUCCGAGUGUAGAGGUGAAAUUCGUAGAUAUUCGGAAGAACACCAGUGGCGAAGGCGGCUCACUGGCCCGUUACCGACGCUCAGGCGCGACAGCGUGGGGAGCAAACAGG